Molecule: transfer RNA, 75 nt
Filed under: Bacillota bacterium
Lineage: Bacteria; Bacillati; Bacillota
Description: Firmicutes bacterium (anaerobic digester metagenome) tRNA-Gln
Rfam family: tRNA
About the family: Transfer RNA (tRNA) molecules are approximately 80 nucleotides in length.
Source: RNAcentral
UGGGGUGUCGCCAAGCGGUAAGGCACUGGACUCUGACUCCAGCAUUCCUUGGUUCGAAUCCAAGCACCCCAGCCA